This 354-nucleotide transfer-messenger RNA is filed under the name Eubacteriales. RNAcentral's name for it is "UMGS1783 sp900555065 Standard tmRNA". It matches the Rfam family "transfer-messenger RNA". From Rfam's summary of the family: Bacterial tmRNA, also known as 10Sa RNA or SsrA, is named for its dual tRNA and mRNA-like properties. Its role is to liberate the mRNA from a stalled ribosome. RNAcentral also lists the same sequence under 1 other name. Lineage: Bacteria; Bacillati; Bacillota; Clostridia. The record is from RNAcentral.
GGGGGCGUAAUGGUUUCGACGUGGGUGUUGCACUGUAACUGGCGGGUGGCGUUCGCGAAAAUCGCCUAAAACGUUCGCAAUUUAAAAAUAAACGCUAACAAGAAUUUAGCUUACGCUGCCUAAUUUAAUUAGGUAGCCGUCCCUUCCCCGAACGCCGCGGCGGGGUCUGGGGCGUCACUGAGCGGCCACCAUGACCAUGUUAAGAUUUGCGCAUGGCAGGACAAAUGAAUCUACUAAGGCCGUAAGCCUGCAAUUAGGCGUGCGGCCAAGGGAAUGUUAAUAUAAUUGCUACGCCCGUAGAUGGUUGCAGGAAUUCGCCGGCGGACGGGAGUUCGAUCCUCCCCGCCUCCACCA